RNAcentral lists this ribosomal RNA (497 nucleotides) under uncultured bacterium. Its description in RNAcentral is "partial 16S ribosomal RNA". It matches the Rfam family "Bacterial small subunit ribosomal RNA", at positions 28 to 507 of the family's 1533-position model. The record is from RNAcentral.
GAUGAACGCUGGCGGCGUGCCUAAUACAUGCAAGUCGAGCGAACAGACGAGGAGCUUGCUCCUCUGACGUUAGCGGCGGACGGGUGAGUAACACGUGGAUAACCUACCUAUAAGACUGGGAUAACUUCGGGAAACCGGAGCUAAUACCGGAUAAUAUAUUGAACCGCAUGGUUCAAUAGUGAAAGACGGUUUUGCUGUCACUUAUAGCUGGAUCCGCGCCGCAUUAGCUAGUUGGUAAGGUAACGGCUUACCAAGGCAACGAUGCGUAGCCGACCUGAGAGGGUGAUCGGCCACAAUGGAACUGAGACACGGUCCAGACUCCUACGGGAGGCAGCAGUAGGGAAUCUUCCGCAAUGGGCGAAAGCCUGACGGAGCAACGCCGCGUGAGUGAUGAAGGUCUUCGGAUCGUAAAACUCUGUUAUUAGGGAAGAACAAAUGUGUAAGUAACUAUGCACGGCUUGACGGUACCUAAUCAGAAAGCCACGGCUAACUACGUG